This 229-nucleotide ribosomal RNA is filed under the name uncultured bacterium. Its description in RNAcentral is "partial 16S ribosomal RNA". It matches the Rfam family "Bacterial small subunit ribosomal RNA", at positions 568 to 796 of the family's 1533-position model. The record is from RNAcentral.
AGUGUAGGCGGCUACGUAAGUCGGAUGUGAAAGCCCUGGGCUCAACCUGGGAAUUGCAUUCGAUACUGCGUAGCUAGAGUUUGACAGAGGUAAGUGGAAUUCCGGGUGUAGCGGUGAAGUGCGUAGAUAUCCGGAGGAACAUCAGUGGCGAAGGCGGCUUACUGGAUCAAAACUGACGCUGAGGCUCGAAAGCGUGGGGAGCAAACAGGAUUAGAUACCCUGGUAGUCC